UUUUACCAAAAACAUGUCCUUAUGAAGGUAUAUGUGGUCUGACCUGCCCACUGAUUAUUUGAAGGGCCGCGGUAUUUUUGACCGUGCGAAGGUAGCAUAAUCAUUAGUCUUUUAAUUGGAGGCUAGAAUGAAUGGUUGGACGAAAAACACACUGUUUCAAAUAAAGGUUUUGAAUUUAACUUUUAAGUGAAAAGGCUUAAAUGGUUUAAAAAGACGAUAAGACCCUAUAAAUCUUAACAUUUGCUUUAUAUUUUUUGAAUUAUUGUGUGUUAAAAAUAGGUAAAAAGGAUGUGUUGUGUUGGGGCAACAGUAAUAUAAUAAAAUUAGUUGUUAUUAAAUUAAAACAAAGAUACUUGUUAAAAUAAAAGAUCCUUUAUAAAGAUUUAAAGAUUAAGUUACUUUAGGGAUAACAGCGUUAUUUUUUCUGAGAGUUCUUAUCGAAGAAAAAGAUUGCGACCUCGAUGUUGAAUUAAAAAUUCUUUUUGAUGCAGAAGUUAAAAAAGAAAGUCUGUUCGACUUUUAAAUUUUUACRUGAURUGAGUUCAAACCGGCGUGAGCCAGGUCGGUUUCUAUCUUUUAAAAAAAGAUUAACUGUUUUAGUACGAAAGGAUU
RNAcentral lists this ribosomal RNA (612 nucleotides) under Clibanarius albidigitus. Its description in RNAcentral is "partial 16S ribosomal RNA". It matches the Rfam family "Bacterial large subunit ribosomal RNA", at positions 1802 to 2693 of the family's 2925-position model. Lineage: Eukaryota; Metazoa; Arthropoda; Malacostraca; Decapoda; Diogenidae. The record is from RNAcentral.